AGAUUGAACGCUGGCGGCAUGCCUAACACAUGCAAGUCGAACGGGAGUAGCAAUACUCUAGUGGCGGACGGGUGAGGAAUACGUAGGAAUUUGCCCUUAAGUGGGGGAUAACCCGGGGAAACCCGGAUUAAUACCGCAUGACCUCGAAGAGCAAAGUGGGGGAUCGCAAGACCUCACGCUUUUGGAGAAGCCUACGUCGGAUUAGCUAGUUGGUGAGGUAAUGGCUCACCAAGGCGACGAUCCGUAACUGGUCUGAGAGGAUGAUCAGUCACACCGGAACUGAGACACGGUCCGGACUCCUACGGGAGCAGCAGGUGGGGAAUAUUGGACAAUGGGCGACGAAGCCUGACUACCGAGCAAUGACCGCGUGGUGUGAAGAA
Molecule: ribosomal RNA, 380 nt
Filed under: uncultured soil bacterium
Lineage: Bacteria
Description: bacterial SSU rRNA
Rfam family: Bacterial small subunit ribosomal RNA
Source: RNAcentral